UACGUAGGUGGCAAGCGUUGUCCGGAUUUAUUGGGUUUAAAGGGUGCGUAGGCGGUCUUUUAAGUCAGUGCUGAAAUACUCCAGCUUAACUGGAGGGGUGGCAUUGAUACUGGGAGACUUGAGUGUAGUCGAGGUAGGCGGAAUUGACGGUGUAGCGGUGAAAUGCUUAGAUAUCGUCAAGAACACCGAUAGUGAAGACAGCUUACUAGGCUACAACUGACGCUGAGGCACGAAAGUGUGGGGAGCGAACAGG
Molecule: ribosomal RNA, 253 nt
Filed under: uncultured bacterium
Lineage: Bacteria
Description: partial 16S ribosomal RNA
Rfam family: Bacterial small subunit ribosomal RNA
Source: RNAcentral